UACGUAGGGGGCGAGCGUUGUCCGGAAUUACUGGGCGUAAAGCGCAUGUAGGCGGCCUGUUAAGUCAGGUGUGAAAACUCACGGCUCAACCGUGGGACGGCACAUGAAACUGGCAGGCUUGAGGGCAGGAGAGGAGAGCGGAAUUCCUAGUGUAGCGGUGAAAUGCGUAGAUAUUAGGAGGAACACCAGUGGCGAAGGCGGCUCUCUGGACUGAACCUGACGCUGAGGUGCGAAAGCUAGGGGAGCAAAC
RNAcentral lists this ribosomal RNA (250 nucleotides) under uncultured bacterium. Its description in RNAcentral is "partial 16S ribosomal RNA". It matches the Rfam family "Bacterial small subunit ribosomal RNA", at positions 524 to 773 of the family's 1533-position model. The record is from RNAcentral.